UAGCUAGUUGGUGAGGUAACGGCUUACCAAGGCGACGAUCUGUAGCGGGUCUGAGAGGAUGAUCCGCCACACUGGAACUGAGACACGGUCCAGACUCCUACGGGAGGCAGCAGUGGGGAAUUUUGGACAAUGGGGGCAACCCUGAUCCAGCCAUGCCGCGUGAGUGAAGAAGGCCUUCGGGUUGUAAAGCUCUUUCGGCCGGGAAGAAAUCGCAUGGGCCAAUACCCUGUGUGGAUGACGGUACCGGAAUAAGAAGCACCGGCUAACUACGUGCCAGCAGCCGCGGUAAUACGUAGGGUGCGAGCGUUAAUCGGAAUUACUGGGCGUAAAGCGUGCGCAGGCGGUUUUGUAAGACAGGCGUGAAAUCCCCGGGCUCAACCUGGGAACUGCGUUUGUGACCGCAAGGCUAGAGUACGGCAGAGGGGGGUGGAAUUCCACGUGUAGCAGUGAAAUGCGUAGAGAUGUGGAGGAACACCAAUGGCGAAGGCAGCCCCCUGGGUCGAUACUGACGCUCAUGCACGAAAGCGUGGGUAGCAAACAGGAUUAGAUACCCUGGUAGUCCACGCCCUAAACUAUGUCAACUAGGUGUUGGGUGGGUAAAACCAUUUAGUACCGUAGCUAACGCGUGAAGUUGACCGCCUGGGGAGUACGGCCGCAAGGUUAAAACUCAAAGGAAUUGACGGGGACCCGCACAAGCGGUGGAUGAUGUGGAUUAAUUCGAUGCAACGCGAAAAACCUUACCUACCCUUGACAUGCCAGGAACUUGCCAGAGAUGGCUUGGUGCCCGAAAGGGAGCCUGGACACAGGUGCUGCAUGGCUGUCGUCAGCUCGUGUCGUGAGAUGUUGGGUUAAGACCCGCAACGAGCGCAACCCUUGUCGUUAAUUGCCAUCAUUUAGUUGGGCACUUUAGCGAGACUGCCGGUGACAAACCGGAGGAAGGUGGGGAUGACGUCAAGUCCUCAUGGCCCUUAUGGGUAGGGCUUCACACGUCAUACAAUGGUCGGUACAGAGGGUCGCCAAGCCGCGAGGUGGAGCCAAUCCCAGAAAGCCGAUCGUAGUCCGGAUUGCAGGCUGCAACUCGCCUGCAUGAAGUCGGAAUCGCUAGUAAUCGUGGAUCAGCAUGUCACGGUGAAUACGUUCCCGGGUCUUGUACACACCGCCCGUCACACCAUGGGAGCGGGUUCCGCCAGAAGUAGGUAGCCUAACCGCAAGGAGGGCGCUUACCACGGCGGGGUUCGUGACGGGGGUGAAGUCGGAACAAGGUAGCCGUAGGGGAACCUGCGGCUG
This 1287-nucleotide ribosomal RNA is filed under the name metagenome. Its description in RNAcentral is "bacterial SSU rRNA". It matches the Rfam family "Bacterial small subunit ribosomal RNA", at positions 242 to 1520 of the family's 1533-position model. The record is from RNAcentral.